RNAcentral lists this long non-coding RNA (671 nucleotides) under Bemisia tabaci. Its description in RNAcentral is "lncRNA ENSSSA2NGG007074". Lineage: Eukaryota; Metazoa; Arthropoda; Insecta; Hemiptera; Aleyrodidae. The record is from RNAcentral.
GUGCCUUGCUCGAACCGAAUAGGAAAAUUUCACAAGGAAAAGUUGCGGGGUCUGGAGUUUGAGAUUUCAAGAAUGAAUUUGAGUGAAAAAAAAGAAAUAAACAAUCAAAGUGGAUUAUAAUUAUAAAAGAUUUUCGCCCAGUGAUGAUUAGUUUUAGUCUACUUGUUCCUCUACGCGAAGUGGAGGUAUUCAUCCACUUGUAUUUCCUCUGAUAUUCAUUAGUUCACACCGAGAUGGUCCCCAGAUCUUGUGCCCCAGUUUUUGUGCUCUGCCUCGUCCUUACUGCUACGCAGGCGACAGCGACCCAGUCAGAUUCGUUUCUUAGCGAUGAGUAUAUUAACCACAUCAAUUCGAUCCAAAGUUCUUGGAUGGCAGGUAGAAAUUUUGAGGACUCUCCGGAGGCCAUGAAAAUGAUCAAAUCACUCCUCGGUGAGCUGCCCAUGAAGGAUCACUCAUCUUUUAACCCGCCACUUAAAACUGCGGACCCGCUUGGCCGUCCGAUGCCGAGAUCCCGGCUACUUUCGACGCGCGGUCCAAAUGGAAGAACUGGUGCCCAAGGAUUGCUGAUAUCAGGGAUCAAAGUAACUGCGGAUCGUGUUGGGCUGUCGCCAGCAGUUCAGCGGUCACAGAUCGGUUCUGCAUCGGCUCUAAAGGCAAGUUCGAAGGUCUAA